CGCACCUUGCGCUCCAUGGUAUUCCGUGGAGCAUGCCUGUUUGAGUGUCACGUUAACCCUCAUUCAUGUAGUGUCAUAACUGCAUGAAUGGAUUUGGACGUUGCCGUAGAGGCUCGUCUCAAUUGUAUUAGCUGUGCGCCCAUUAGUGUGCUCGGUGUCUGCCGUGGUAAUUCUCUCGGCUCACCUCAUGCCACUUCCAGUGACGCUGCUUCCAAUGGUCCCUUGUGGACAAUUGAAUUAAAGCUUUGGCCUCAAAUCAGGUAGGACUACCCGCUGAACUUAA
RNAcentral lists this unclassified non-coding RNA (283 nucleotides) under Auriculariales sp. RNAcentral describes it as "partial contains 5.8S ribosomal RNA, internal transcribed spacer 2, and large subunit ribosomal RNA". Lineage: Eukaryota; Fungi; Basidiomycota; Agaricomycetes; Auriculariales. The record is from RNAcentral.